This 497-nucleotide ribosomal RNA is filed under the name uncultured bacterium. RNAcentral's name for it is "partial 16S ribosomal RNA". It matches the Rfam family "Bacterial small subunit ribosomal RNA", at positions 28 to 507 of the family's 1533-position model. The record is from RNAcentral.
GAUGAACGCUGGCGGCGUGCCUAAUACAUGCAAGUCGAGCGAACGGACGAGAAGCUUGCUUCUCUGAUGUUAGCGGCGGACGGGUGAGUAACACGUGGAUAACCUACCUAUAAGACUGGGAUAACUUCGGGAAACCGGAGCUAAUACCGGAUAAUAUUUUGAACCGCAUGAUUCAAAAGUGAAAGACGGUCUUGCUAUCACUUAUAGAUGGAUCCGCGCUGCAUUAGCUAGUUGGUAAGGUAACGGCUUACCAAGGCAACGAUGCAUAGCCGACCUGAGAGGGUGAUCGGCCACACUGGAACUGAGACACGGUCCAGACUCCUACGGGAGGCAGCAGUAGGGAAUCUUCCGCAAUGGGCGAAAGCCUGACGGAGCAACGCCGCGUGAGUGAUGAAGGUCUUCGGAUCGUAAAACUCUGUUAUUAGGGAAGAACAUAUGUGUAAGUAACUGUGCACAUCUUGACGGUACCUAAUCAGAAAGCCACGGCUAACUACGUG